GCCAACGUCCAUACCACGUUGAACACACCGGUUCUCGUCCAAUCACCGAAGUUAAGCAACGUCGGGCGCGGUCAGUACUUGGAUGGGUGACCGCCUGGGAACACCGCGUGAUGUUGGCU
RNAcentral lists this ribosomal RNA (119 nucleotides) under Papilio xuthus (Asian swallowtail). The record is from RNAcentral. Lineage: Eukaryota; Metazoa; Arthropoda; Insecta; Lepidoptera; Papilionidae.